Molecule: ribosomal RNA, 253 nt
Filed under: uncultured bacterium
Lineage: Bacteria
Description: partial 16S ribosomal RNA
Rfam family: Bacterial small subunit ribosomal RNA
Source: RNAcentral
UACGUAGGGUGCGAGCGUUAAUCGGAAUUACUGGGCGUAAAGCGCACGUAGGCGGAUACUUAAGUCAGGUGUGAAAUCCCGGGGCUCAACCCCGGAACUGCCUUUGAUACUGGGUAUCUCGAGUCCGGAAGAGGUGAGUGGAAUUCCGAGUGUAGAGGUGAAAUUCGUAGAUAUUCGGAGGAACACCAGUGGCGAAGGCGGCGAUCUGGGCCUUGACUGACGCUGAGGCGCGAAAGCGUGGGGAGCAAACAGG